UACGUAGGGUGCAAGCGUUAAUCGGAAUUACUGGGCGUAAAGCGUGCGCAGGCGGUGAUGUAAGACAGUUGUGAAAUCCCCGGGCUUAACCUGGGAAUGGCAUUGGUGACUGCACGGCUAGAGUGUGUCAGAGGGGGGUAGAAUUCCACGUGUAGCAGUGAAAUGCGUAGAGAUGUGGAGGAAUACCGAUGGCGAAGGCAGCCCCCUGGGAUAACACUGACGCUCAUGCACGAAAGCGUGGGGAGCAAACAGG
RNAcentral lists this ribosomal RNA (253 nucleotides) under uncultured bacterium. Its description in RNAcentral is "partial 16S ribosomal RNA". It matches the Rfam family "Bacterial small subunit ribosomal RNA", at positions 524 to 776 of the family's 1533-position model. The record is from RNAcentral.